GUCUUUUUGAUUAAUAAUUUAAAGUCUAAUCUGCCCACUGAUAAUAUAUUAAAGGGCUGCAGUAUUUUGACUGUACAAAGGUAGCAUAAUCAAUAGUCUCUUAAUUGGUGACUUGUAUGAAGGAUUUAAUGAGAUAUAUACUGUCUCUUUUUAAUUUAUAAAAUUUAAUUUUUUAGUUAAAAAGCUAAAAUAAAUUUAAAAGACGAGAAGACCCUAUAGAGUUUAAUAUUUAAUUAAAUUAGAAUUAUUUAUAAAAUUUAAAGUUUUAAUUUAUAAUAAAUAUUUUGUUGGGGUGAUAAAAAAAUUAAAAGAACUUUUUUUAUAGAUUUACAUUGAUAAGUGAAUAAAUGAUCCGUAAUUUACGAUUAAAAGAAAAAAUUACCUUAGGGAUAACAGCGUAAUUUUUUUUUUUAGUUCAAAUAAGAAAAAAAGUUUGCGACCUCGAUGUUGGAUUAAGAUAAAAUUUAAAUGCAAAAGUUUAAAAUUUUUGAUCUGUUCGAUCAUUAAAAUCUUACA
RNAcentral lists this ribosomal RNA (516 nucleotides) under Parnassius maximinus. Its description in RNAcentral is "partial 16S ribosomal RNA". The stretch from base 389 to 516 matches the Rfam family "Bacterial large subunit ribosomal RNA", at positions 2473 to 2600 of the family's 2925-position model. The record is from RNAcentral. Lineage: Eukaryota; Metazoa; Arthropoda; Insecta; Lepidoptera; Papilionidae.